GCAACCGGCGGAGGCGCCGCAGGAGCGGCCCCAGGGAGAGCCUGCGGCCCUCGGCUGCUUCUCCCUCUUCCCCGCCGAGGGCGCAGGGCCGCGGUCCACGGCAGCAGGUGUCGCCUGGCCCAGCGGGUGCGAACAAGCCCACCCCUUUGCGCCUCUCCCGGCCGCGCCCUGGCACUUUCGACCUCAGCCUCCUCCCUCCAUCGCCAUCAGGCGCGGCCUAACCUGCGGAGAGGCCACGUCCCCCGGAGCCGGGGGCCCGGUGCUGGGAAAACAGCAUUAAGAUCACAGAUAAAAAUCCUUGUUCUUGGGAAGCUUACAUUUUAGUGGGUAGAAACUGAAAAGACGCAUUUAUUCAACUGCUUUUCUACUACUGAUGGAUUUUCACGUUGCUGUCAGCAUUUUGCUAUCAUAAGUGGUCCAAAGAUGAGGAGACCGAAGUGCAAGAGGUGAAGUAAAUGGCCCAAGUUUACACAGCAGCUGGGAAGGAGCCACUGAAGCAGACCUAAGGAAGAAGAGCUGUCCGGGCAGAAGAAUUCACAUGAAGCCUCAGGGGGACAGUAGCAGGCCGACCAAUGGCCCCAGACAUCGCCAGGUCCUAAUUCUGGAACCUGUGGAUGUUGCCCUGCAGGGCGAAGGGACUUUGCAGAUGGGGAAGUUCAUCCUGGCUCAUCCGGUGGGCCCAGUGUCAUCACGAGAGUGCUUAUACGUGGGGGGAAGAGGGAGAUCGGGCAUCACAUACGUGAUCCCUGUGGAAGCAGAGGUUGCUGUGAUGGGUGGAAGGGCAGGAACCAAGGAGUGCAGUCCCUGCCGACAGUUUAGACUUCGACCUUAGAAGCGUAAGACGAUAAACUUGUGUCGUUCAAAGCCACUAAGUUUGUAGUAAUUUGACGGCAGCGAUAGGAGCCACCCGUGCGUCUUUUCUCUGUGCUCUUUCUGGCCUCCAGUUCUUCCUGGCUCUUCUCUCUGCAGAGAACUCCCUCCCUUGGUCCCCUCUCUCCAGCUCGCCUCCUUCAAACUCUGCUAAGAUUCCCCGGAAUCCCCCAGGCUUGGUGUCCCCUUCCUCUGUACUCCUUGAACACUUCGCGUCAAUCUGGGUUCAAGCACUAAUACUAUACUGUACUAUACUGUACUAUAAUGUGCCCUUUCACUAGUCUGAUUCUUGCUUUUGAUUUGAUGUUGGAUUUCUUGAGAGUAGGGAUCCUAUAUUUUGCCUUUUUCUAUCCCCAGUAAUUGGCGCAGGGUCUGGUAAAACUGUAAGCAGUUCAUCCAAGUUUAUGGAAUAAAAAACAACAAUUAAACAGAAAACUGCAAUAGGGAAUCACACCAUACAAAGUCCCAUAAUAAAUGCGAUUCGCUCCACAGUCCUGGGAUUCUCCGGCCAGGGUCUAACAGGCACAAAAGAGUGGGACUGUGUCUUCCUGUCCCCACACCCUCACUCCCCCUGAGCCGUCCCCUUCCCUCCCCAGGCAGUCUGACCUUGACCUGUCUGAGGCAUCCUAAGUCCCACAGCUUCCCCAGUGCUGUGCACUCUGACCCCGGCCUAUACUGGUUGUUGAGGCUAAGAGCUCAGCCAAUGAUGAAUGAGGUGGAGAAGUGUUUAGGGCUUCUGAGGGCUGCCCCAGCUGUAACUUGAUACAUCUGUUGCGCUUUCUGUAGGAAAAGCAACAAUUUAGUCAAUGUUCUUUUAAAUCAUGCCCAUUUCUUCUAGACAUAAAGUAAGGUUCAAAUAAGAAAAAGAUUUAAAAAUCAUCUGUAAUCUCUCUACCCACAGUUAAUCAUUAAUAACAUUACUUAAAAAUAGUAUUAAUGUCAGAAUGAGUACAUUGCUAAUUAAUAUAUAGAAUGAAGAACAUAAAGUGAAACGUAAAAGAAUACCCAGUUCCACU
Lagenorhynchus albirostris (white-beaked dolphin) is the source of this 1886-nucleotide long non-coding RNA. RefSeq lists it as uncharacterized. The record is from RefSeq and is a predicted model, not a curated record. The transcript has 3 exons. NCBI's taxonomy places the organism in Eukaryota, Metazoa, Chordata, Mammalia, Artiodactyla, Delphinidae.